CAGCAGCCGCGGUAAUACGGAGGGAGCUAGCGUUGUUCGGAAUUACUGGGCGUAAAGCGCACGUAGGCGGUUAUUCAAGUCAGAGGUGAAAGCCCGGGGCUCAACCCCGGAACUGCCUUUGAAACUAGAUGACUGGAAUCUUGGAGAGGUCAGUGGAAUUCCGAGUGUAGAGGUGAAAUUCGUAGAUAUUCGGAAGAACACCAGUGGCGAAGGCGACUGACUGGACAAGUAUUGACGCUGAGGUGCGAAAGCGUGGGGAGCAAACAGGAUUAGAUACCCGCGUAGUCCCUGUCUCUUAUAC
RNAcentral lists this ribosomal RNA (301 nucleotides) under uncultured bacterium. Its description in RNAcentral is "partial 16S ribosomal RNA". It matches the Rfam family "Bacterial small subunit ribosomal RNA", at positions 509 to 807 of the family's 1533-position model. The record is from RNAcentral.